ACAGCACGCACUACAGAACACAAUCAAACAAUCGGUGUACCAGUACCAACUUCCUCAGUAGUUGAAUUAUUUGUCUCUGAUCCGGUCGUUGGAGCUCUUGUACCUUGGCUAUUUGAAUUGCUUGUAGGGCUUGCUGAACCGCUGCUCAUUCCCCCAAUAGUUGAACUAUUUGUCUCUGCUCCAGUUGGUUGAGCAGUAGUAACUUGGCUUGUUGAACUGUUCAUGAGGCUGGUUGAACCAGUGCUAAUUUCGUUUUAGUUGAACUAUUUGUCUCUGCUCCAGUUGGUUGAGCAGUAGUAACUUGGCUUGUUGAACUGUUCAUGAGGCUGGUUGAACCAGUGCUAAUUUCGUUUUAGUUGAACUAUUUGUCUCUGUUCCAGUUGGUUGAGCAGUAGUAACUUGGCUUGUUGAACUGUUCAUGAGGCUGGUUGAACCAGUGCUAAU
Molecule: long non-coding RNA, 444 nt
Organism: Dermacentor silvarum
Lineage: Eukaryota; Metazoa; Arthropoda; Arachnida; Ixodida; Ixodidae
Exons: 3
Source: RefSeq, a predicted model, not a curated record